GUCCCACUUCAGGUCCUGAGAGAUGGUUGUGCCCAGGAACCUGAAUAACUCCACUGCAGCCACAGUGCUCUCUAUGAUGACUCAUCACCAUCCUGAAUGAGGCCGAUGACUGUGGUGUCGUCUGCAAACUUCGGGAGCUUGACAGAGGGAUCUUUAGAGGUGCAGUUGUUGGUGUGGAGGGAGAAGAGCAGUGGGGAGAGAACGCAGCCCUGAGGAGCUCCGGUGCUGAUGGUGCGGGUGUUGGAUGUGAUUUUUCCCAGCCUCACUGCUGCCUGUCAGGAAGCUGGUGAUCCACUGACGGAUGGAGAGAUAUAACGAAGAGAGCAAGCCAUCCUGAUUCAGAAGAAGAACUGGGAGAGGUGUCUGGGCCCUGUCCCAAAUGGCACAUUUGACAUGGGCAGGGUUUACACAUGUAAAGUCUACGAAAUGGAAAACUCCAGCAGCAGAUCACAGAAUUGUGCCAUGAAAAAUGCUGUUUGUAAGUGUUUUGGCAACUGGUCCCUUCACGGCUGUAGUGAUCAUCCUGAGCAAAUGACCUAACCUCCGGGUUCCCGGGGCGAUGACAGAGCAGUUUGUAGGGCAACCAGUGACAGCUGGAUGCGCCCAGCAAGGCAAACACACCUCAGAACUCGUACAUCUUUCUCUGGGCCACAGCGCUGACGGGAACAGCAUUGCAGUACAAGCUCAGCUGCUUCACCUGCCAUUUCCAGCACACAGCGAGACACGACAGGAGAGUUUCACAGUACUGCAGGAGAGAGAAUGUGAGGUUAGACAGAAUGUGAAUCAAAGCACUGUUUUAAGUUAAAAUUCACCCUUUCAAUUUUUUUAAUGCAUGUUAUUGGCCUUAUUUUGAACAAUUCAUCUGUGCAUAGCCUUAAUAUUUAAAUUUUUUUUGACCCUAGUUUUAAUUUGGACAUCUCAAAAUUCAAUCAACAACUAGUGGAUAGAAGCAAUUACCCAGCCAACCAAUUAUUAUGACUUUAGGUUUUGCAGCAUUAGUGAAGAUUUUUAUGCAUUAUUUAGCCUUAAAUUAGAAUUUUAUUUUAUUUUUUUAUUUUUUUAUGGGGGUCAGUCAUUCAGAAUGAUGCAGAGCAUGUGCUAAUAAAAAACGCAAUCAGUUAUUGGUGAAUAGAGCAAGAAUAUAGAGUGUAUCACUAACAAAAAAAGCUGC
Molecule: long non-coding RNA, 1171 nt
Organism: Cyprinus carpio carpio
Lineage: Eukaryota; Metazoa; Chordata; Actinopteri; Cypriniformes; Cyprinidae
Source: Ensembl